This 420-nucleotide ribosomal RNA is filed under the name Fusobacteriota bacterium. RNAcentral describes it as "Fusobacteria bacterium partial 16S ribosomal RNA". It matches the Rfam family "Bacterial small subunit ribosomal RNA", at positions 355 to 776 of the family's 1533-position model. The record is from RNAcentral. Lineage: Bacteria; Fusobacteriati; Fusobacteriota.
UGGGGGAUAUUGCACAAUGGGCGAAAGCCUGAUGCAGCGACGCCGCGUGGGGGAUGAAGGCCUUCGGGUUGUAAACUUCUUUUGCUCUGAACAAGGCAUGCCUUUGGGGUGUGUUGAGUGUAGGGGUUGAUUAGCGCCGGCUAACUACGUGCCAGCAGCCGCGGUAAUACGUAGGGCGCGAGCGUUGUCCGGAAUUCUUGGGCGUAAAGGGCUUGUAGGUGGCUGGUUGAGUCGGUCGUGAAAGCUCAUGGAUUAACUGUGGGUUUGCGGUGGGUACGGGCUGGCUUGAGUGCAGUAGGGGAGGCUGGAAUUCCUGGUGUAGCGGUGGAAUGCGCAGAUAUCAGGAGGAAUACCGGUGGCGAAGGCGGGUCUCUGGGCUGUUACUGACGCUGAGGAGCGAAAGCGUGGGGAGCGAACAGG